GAUGAACGCUAGCGGCAGGCUUAAUACAUGCAAGUCGAGGGGUAACAUGGUAGCAAUACUGAUGACGACCGGCAAACGGGUGCGGAACACGUACAGAACCUUCCUUUAAGCGGGGGAUAGCCCAUAGAAAUGUGGAUUAAUACCCCAUAGUAAUAUUGAUUGGCAUCAAUUGAUAUUUAAAGAUUUAUCACUUAAAGAUGGCUGUGCGGCUGAUUAGGUAGUUGGUGCGGGUAACGGCCCACCAAGCCAUCGAUCAGUAACUGGUGUGAGAGCACGACCAGUCACACGGGCACUGAGACACGGGCCCGACUCCUACGGGAGGCAGCAGUAAGGAAUAUUGGUCAAUGGACGCAAGUCUGAACCAGCCAUGCCGCGUGGAGG
Molecule: ribosomal RNA, 381 nt
Filed under: uncultured bacterium
Lineage: Bacteria
Description: bacterial SSU rRNA
Rfam family: Bacterial small subunit ribosomal RNA
Source: RNAcentral